Anas platyrhynchos (mallard) is the source of this 1875-nucleotide long non-coding RNA. RefSeq lists it as uncharacterized. NCBI's taxonomy places the organism in Eukaryota, Metazoa, Chordata, Aves, Anseriformes, Anatidae. The record is from RefSeq and is a predicted model, not a curated record.
ACCAGCGUGUGGUGUGCACUAAUAAGACGAGCACUACCACCAAAUCAGAUUACGUGAGCCAGGUGCUUUGUUAGCAGCUGGUGAUGAGACAGCCAUGGGAAGGAUCUGUGUUAAUGGGUCAGAGCCGAGUGCUAACGAACCCAGAGCCAGUGGUCCCAGCUCAGCCACCAAGCCCUUCCCCAAAAGGAGGAAGCUUUCCCUCAGGGGAGACACAGGCUGGAGACAGCAAGCUGGCAAAGUAAGAGAAACUGAAGCCAGAGGACUUGACCUGCCCAAAAAAAACACCCAGCAGGCCAGGAGCAAACACAGCCCAGACCUCGCUCAUACUUCAGGUCUGCAUCACAGUGAAGCCUGGUUUCAUGGACCAGCUGCAAAACUGCACAGCAUCAACAUCCACACUGCUGUGUACUAAGAUCAUUUUUUUUCUACCACUUAGCCAAACAGCAAAUACAUUUUUUCUGAAAUGCAAAAACGCUUUGUGAAGUCUGCGUUCAUCCUUUCUGUGCUCCAUUACAGCCUUUGGGUGCUCAUGAGAGCAAGAUCCUGAACAAAGGUGCUGCUACAGGAGCCCUGCUCUCCCCCUGGAACUGAGCCCUCAGUGCUGCUGCAGCUGAUCAAACCAUGACACAAUGCAAAAGGAUUUUCCAUAUCUAUCCGCUAUGGAAGAAUCAAGCAGAGCAGCUGGUGCUGGUCAGCAUCAAAAUAAAGCCAAAUGCACUCUGCUUCCUUGACAGCCAGAGCAGAGAUAGCCAGUGGCUGAUGUAGUUGUGUGAGCCGCACAUCCGAAUCAAGUCUUCCCACACAGUAUGUGUAAAGAUGCUAAAAAUGAAAUGCAAAAAAUGCAGAAGAGCAACAGACAUGACAAAACAUAGCUAUACUCUGAAAAGCAUCUGAAUUACAAGUCGCAAGGAAAUGAAUCAGUACUGAACAAACCCAGCAACACAUGCUGCCGUUUGCAUCGCUUAUCCAGGGGUCUUUCCAUUUGCCAGCAUGUCUGGGCAAAGAUUAUUGCUGUUAUGAGCAGGUGAAGAGCAGCUAUCAGGAAGUAUUUUAGCUGCUCCCAACCACAGUGACAAGCUGAAUGAGAUAGGAGACAGGUUUUAAUUUACUGGAGCAUGUCCUGCUUCAUAAGGAGAAAACUGAUGGUGCCCUGCAGGGACGUUCAUGCAUGAAGGUUUCCCUGUCCUGCUACAGAGCACCCUCAACACUGAAUAGUCAGGCUUUGUGAGUAAUAAGACAUGGACAGAUUUGUGAAACUUGUGAGGUGCAAAAGCAGUGCCUUGUUCGUGGAGGGAAAAGUAAGCAGGGGGCUCACAGGGGAUUUUCUCAGAGCAUUUUUGGAUGAGUUUUGCCAGCAGCAGGGAUAACAUGGCUCCAUCUGAAAGAGCAGCAUGGGACCCCGCACCCACCCUUUUUCCAUAUGGCGGAUGGUUCUCAUGAGCAAAAAAUAUGAUUUGCUUUCUCCCAGUGACAAACAGCAGGAGCACAGACAGCAGCCCUGACGCCUUCCAAGCACAGAGCAGCAAACACGCGUCCUGUUAGGUGGGAUGAAUAUCUCAUUGACGGAGGCACCAUUACUCAUUUUCCUGCUCAGGAAGCCAAAUGCAGAAGUAAAAGGUCUCGAUUGUGUCCAGGGCUUGGUCACAGCAGAAUCACGAGUGUACAGUGUAGGAGCUGGCUGCAGUGGGGCUGUUGUUGGGGCUGCUCUGCAGUGCUCUCCCAGGAGCAGAUGUGCCCCACACUGUGCAAUGGCUCUGUUGUUCAUCAGAGCUCCACACCAGUCCUAUUUGUGCCCUAAGAAAGCCCUAAAUCACCACUCCUACAAAAUAUUCCAACGCUCCCCUCCCACCCCCAAUGAAGGAGCAGUUCCCUGCA